AUUGAACGCUGGCGGCAGGCUUAACACAUGCAAGUCGAGCGGAUGAAGGGAGCUUGCUCCUGGAUUCAGCGGCGGACGGGUGAGUAAUGCCUAGGAAUCUGCCUGGUAGUGGGGGAUAACGUCCGGAAACGGGCGCUAAUACCGCAUACGUCCUGAGGGAGAAAGUGGGGGAUCUUCGGACCUCACGCUAUCAGAUGAGCCUAGGUCGGAUUAGCUAGUUGGUGGGGUAAAGGCCUACCAAGGCGACGAUCCGUAACUGGUCUGAGAGGAUGAUCAGUCACACUGGAACUGAGACACGGUCCAGACUCCUACGGGAGGCAGCAGUGGGGAAUAUUGGACAAUGGGCGAAAGCCUGAUCCAGCCAUGCCGCGUGUGUGAAGAAGGUCUUCGGAUUGUAAAGCACUUUAAGUUGGGAGGAAGGGCAGUAAGUCAAUACCUUGCUGUUUUGACGUUACCAACAGAAUAAGCACCGGCUAACUUCGUG
This 484-nucleotide ribosomal RNA is filed under the name uncultured bacterium. Its description in RNAcentral is "partial 16S ribosomal RNA". It matches the Rfam family "Bacterial small subunit ribosomal RNA", at positions 30 to 507 of the family's 1533-position model. The record is from RNAcentral.